Molecule: long non-coding RNA, 1146 nt
Filed under: Linum usitatissimum (flax)
Lineage: Eukaryota; Viridiplantae; Streptophyta; Magnoliopsida; Malpighiales; Linaceae
Description: long non-coding RNA (LUSI_LNC002231)
Source: RNAcentral
UAAGAGCUUGAUAGCAUCUUUCUUGCACUCUGUCACUUUUCUUCCAAACUGAAGGAAUGACAAUAUACCAGACCGGGUGGCGAUCUCUGUAAAGCAAACGAUAGAGACCUCAUCCGGAGAAGUGCAGAAGACAUCUUUGCUAAGGUUGAAUUCAACCUCAAAGAUGUUCUUUACAAUCAACUCCAAGUGCUUGGACCAUUGAUCAAUCCAGCCCUCUACUUCUUCCACAUCAUCACACCCAAUUAUCGGUUUAUCAAGGUAAUUCAGAUCAAUCCCUUCUAAACUUAUCCUUGCAUUUGCAACCCGGACCUCGACAUAUGCUGAUGUACACCAUGGUAACCUGUUGUUAGCAUUCAAUCUCUCAGUGAUGGCCUGAAGUUUUUCUACGACAUCGACAGGGAUGGCUUUCAAAGCAGUGAAUGAACAAAUAGUCAAAGGGACAGGAACAGAGUUUGCAACAAGAAGCUGUUUGUAUUCAAUCCCUAGCUUCCUAAAUGCGCCAAACAGAACACCACCAUCGAUUCGAGCAAGUUUCUCAGUGGCUUCCAGCUCCAGCAAAAUUCUCAAGGACUUCUCGACAUUACAAAUGUAUGGCUCCUUGGCAACUGAGUUGUCCUUCAGAAACUGCAGAAUAUCCUGCAACCACUGAAUUGCUAGUCCACAGUUGUUGGCUAGAAACUUAAGUGCUUCCUCAAGCUUCUUCAGGGAAGAAAGAUAAGCAUAAAGAUCACUAGGACUAGGAUCUGCCGAGACCGACUUCUGAAGCUCCUGAAUCGUACCGUGGACUUUCAAAACAGCCGCUGCAGGGCCAACUGCACGAUCGACAUGGUCUGUGAUUGCUGCGAAUGUGCAUUUCUGAGCUGGGAAAGGCCUAGCUGCAGCUUCCAAAGGUGGUAAGCUCUGGCCGAUACGAUCCAGUUUUUGGCCGGUUUGAUGCAAUGCUGAAACAAUAGCUCUGGAAUUCUCUAAGGUUGCCUUCAAGAGAGCACUCCUGGAAGAAAGAAGAUUUCUGGAGAUGUCCAUUUCAGCCAUGAUUGAGAUUAACUAGAAAGAAUGUAUGUAUUGCAGUGAGUUGAAAAGUGAUGUGAUACUUAUCUAGUAACUGGAAUUUUAGUUUCCUUUUAAGACACUUCCUUCACCAAACUC